RNAcentral lists this ribosomal RNA (497 nucleotides) under uncultured bacterium. Its description in RNAcentral is "partial 16S ribosomal RNA". It matches the Rfam family "Bacterial small subunit ribosomal RNA", at positions 28 to 507 of the family's 1533-position model. The record is from RNAcentral.
GACGAACGCUGGCGGCGUGCCUAAUACAUGCAAGUUGAGCGCUGAAGGUUGGUACUUGUACCAACUGGAUGAGCAGCGAACGGGUGAGUAACGCGUGGGUAAUCUGCCUUUGAGCCGGGGACAACAUUUGGAAACGAAUGCUAAUACCGCAUAAAAACUUUAAACACAAGUUUUAAGUUUGAAAGAUGCAAUUGCAUCACUCAAAGAUGAUCCCGCGUUGUAUUAGCUAGUUGGUGAGGUAAAGGCUCACCAAGGCGAUGAUACAUAACCGACCUGAGAGGGUGAACGGCCAAAUUGGGACUGAGACACGGCCCAAACUCCUACGGGGAGCAGCAGUAGGGAAUCUUCGGCAAUGGACGAAAGUCUGACCGAGCAACGCCGCGUGAGUGAAGAAGGGUUUCGGAUCGUAAAACUCUGUUGGUAGAGAAGAACGUUGGUGAGAGUGGAAAGCUCAUCAAGUGACGGUAACUACCCAGAAAGGGACGGCUAACUACGUG